GGAAGUGUGCCCGAACAGCUAUAAGGACUACUUUGAUAGAGUACUAUAAAGAGGUUAAAAUCCUCUCACUUCCU
RNAcentral lists this transfer RNA (74 nucleotides) under Gekko hokouensis. RNAcentral describes it as "tRNA-Ile". It matches the Rfam family "tRNA". Rfam says of the family: Transfer RNA (tRNA) molecules are approximately 80 nucleotides in length. Their secondary structure includes four short double-helical elements and three loops (D, anti-codon, and T loops). Lineage: Eukaryota; Metazoa; Chordata; Lepidosauria; Squamata; Gekkonidae. The record is from RNAcentral.